Molecule: small RNA, 125 nt
Filed under: Martinezella leucaenae
Lineage: Bacteria; Pseudomonadati; Pseudomonadota; Alphaproteobacteria; Hyphomicrobiales; Rhizobiaceae
Description: Rhizobium leucaenae ar14
Rfam family: Alphaproteobacterial ar14
About the family: Smr14C2 was renamed NfeR1 (Nodule Formation Efficiency RNA) highly expressed in salt stress and during the symbiotic interaction on legume roots.
Source: RNAcentral
CGUAGUGCAGACGACCUACUCCUCCUCCCAAGGUCGUCUGCGGGAACGGUGGCACUCCUCCUCCCAGCUACCGUUCGGUUCUUGACGAAAGCCUGCCGCAUCUCCUCCCGCGGCAGGCUUUUUCG